This 67-nucleotide transfer RNA is filed under the name Marmota monax (woodchuck). Its description in RNAcentral is "tRNA.Ala". Lineage: Eukaryota; Metazoa; Chordata; Mammalia; Rodentia; Sciuridae. The record is from RNAcentral.
GGUUAUAGCUCAGUGGUAGAGCACUUGCUCAGCACACAUGAGGCACUGGGUUCGACCCUCAGCACCA